Molecule: non-coding RNA, 112 nt
Organism: Acanthosepion pharaonis
Lineage: Eukaryota; Metazoa; Mollusca; Cephalopoda; Sepiida; Sepiidae
Source: the annotation of a GenBank genome assembly
UAUGGCCACAUCACGUUGAAACAUUGGUACCCAUAUGAGCACCGAAAUUAAGCAAUGUCAAGCCUGGUGAGUACCUCCAUUGGUGACCACUUGGGAAUACCAGGUGCUGUAA